CUAUUAUCCUUCAUUAACAAAGGCGCCAAUAGUUAAGAGAUAUUUUAUUGAAUUUUAUCGUUCAAUUACAGUUUUACUUCAAAAAUAUAGAAAAUUGUAACAGUAUGGAAAAGGAUAAAGUUAACCAAGAAUCGAUCGAAGCUGCUGAGAAUAUACUUGUUAAAGUUCUAAAGUACUCGUUAACUAUUCUUGGAUUGCCCGUAUUUUCGUUUUUUGCUUUACAAUUUAUAUUUGAAAGUUUAUGCAAAUUUAGUCAAUCCGAUAGCUACUUCUACUCAGCAAUCGUUGCCGUUGUUAUCAUUCACAUUAUCCUCAUAAUGCUCAUUUUUGAAGCAGCAAAGGUCGAAAAGAAACCACAGAAGUCUGAUUAAUAAAACAUAUCUAUAUGUAUUACAGUGUGAUAAAAUUGAUAUGUAAAAUUUGCUCUUUAGUGGUUAUUUCUUAUCAUAAUUAUCAGUUGAGUUCUUAUCUACUCUAAAAAAAAUUUUUUAUGAAAUAUAUACCAUCCUCUACACAGAGAUCGUGAAGCGCAAAGCUUAAACACUUGAAAUUUAUUGCGAUGAAGUGUUCUGUGUGUAACGGAACAUGUAAAAAUCCCUUCGAAUUCAGCUGCUUACAUAGAAUUUGCAGAGAUUGUUUGAAACCUGAUUAUAAAUUUGAAAAGAAGCAAAAAUGUUAUAUUUGCUUACGGAAAUCAACGCGUAAUUUUUACGUAGAUAUUCCAGAGCGGAAAUGUUCUACUGAUAAUCACAUAGAAGAAGUUAUUCUACAAUGCGAGACUUGCAACAAUACAACAGUUUGUCCAAAAUGCUUAAUGGACCAUAGCAAGGGUCAUAAAUUAGUUGUAAAGCCUCAAAUUAUACCAAGGAAUAAUAUUAAAUAUACUGAAAGAGAUGAAAAGAAACGCCUGUUAGAUAGGCUCAAUGAUUUAACAGAAGCAAUAAAAAGAAGUAGGGAUUAUACAAAGACUACAAUCGAUAAUAGAUGUAAAGAAGCUUUUUCUGAGAUAGAAGAAAGACAACGAGAAAUGCAUGAACAUAAUGAAGACAAACAUAAACAACUACUUUCAAAAAUUUGUGAGUACAUUGGCGAAAUUCCGCUACUUCACUCUGGUGAUGACGCUUUAAGCGAAAGGGAAAAUGAAGUUAAGGAUAUAGAAUAUGGAUUUAGGAAAGCAGACUCUGAAAGCUUAUUUUACUUCUUAAAAAGUUCUGCUAUCCCGAACGUGAAUGAUUUGGCUUUAAAUGAACAUUUUAAAUGUUUCUUCGAAGAUGAAUAUAUAACAGUAAAUGAAGUCGCCGCGGAAGAGACACAGCAAAGAGCAUAUGAAUGCCCCGAGUUACCUCCAAAAACGAAGAAAAAACCAGAAAAGUGGAGUUUUUCUAAAUUACUAACAAGAAAGAGUUCUGAUAAACAAAAUACCUUAAUUGAAAAGAGUCAAUUAAAUGAUAGUCCUAGCGUGCAUCAAAAUAUUGUACACGAAUUACAACAAAAACAUUCGCAGAAUGAAGCAUGUGAUAUCCCAAUUUUGCCUCCGAGAAAAUCCUAAAAGAGAAAAAAAGUAGAAAAUUCCGACAUUUUAUCUUUGUAAAGUAAUAAUAUUUGAAGAUAACGUCAUAAACUUUU
RNAcentral lists this unclassified non-coding RNA (1626 nucleotides) under Dimorphilus gyrociliatus. RNAcentral's name for it is "rING-type domain-containing protein". The record is from RNAcentral. Lineage: Eukaryota; Metazoa; Annelida; Polychaeta; Dinophilidae.